Molecule: ribosomal RNA, 253 nt
Filed under: uncultured bacterium
Lineage: Bacteria
Description: partial 16S ribosomal RNA
Rfam family: Bacterial small subunit ribosomal RNA
Source: RNAcentral
UACGGAGGGUGCAAGCGUUAAUCGGAAUUACUGGGCGUAAAGCGCACGCAGGCGGUCAAUUAAGUCAGAUGUGAAAGCCCCGAGCUUAACUUGGGAAUUGCAUCUGAAACUGGUUGGCUAGAGUCUUGUAGAGGGGGGUAGAAUUCCAUGUGUAGCGGUGAAAUGCGUAGAGAUGUGGAGGAAUACCGGUGGCGAAGGCGGCCCCCUGGACAAAGACUGACGCUCAGGUGCGAAAGCGUGGGGAGCAAACAGG